RNAcentral lists this ribosomal RNA (253 nucleotides) under uncultured bacterium. Its description in RNAcentral is "partial 16S ribosomal RNA". It matches the Rfam family "Bacterial small subunit ribosomal RNA", at positions 524 to 776 of the family's 1533-position model. The record is from RNAcentral.
UACGAGGGGUGCAAGCGUUAUUCGGAAUUACUGGGCGUAAAGGGUGUGCAGACGGUUUUUCAAGUCAGUUGUUAAAUCUCCCGGCCUAACUGGGAAUCGGCGACUGAAACUGAAAGACUUGAGGAUGGAAGAGAGAAGUGGAAUUCUCGGAGUAGCGGUAAAAUGCGUAGAUCUCGAGAGGAACACCGAUGGCGAAGGCAGCUUCUUGGUCCAUUCCUGACGUUGAGACACGAAAGCGUGGGUAGCAAACAGG